Molecule: ribosomal RNA, 754 nt
Filed under: Lactobacillus sp.
Lineage: Bacteria; Bacillati; Bacillota; Bacilli; Lactobacillales; Lactobacillaceae
Description: bacterial SSU rRNA
Rfam family: Bacterial small subunit ribosomal RNA
Source: RNAcentral
CGGCAUGCUAAUACAUGCAAGUCGAACGAGUUCCCGUUGAUUGACGUGCUUGCACUGAUUUCAACAUUGGAACGAGUGGCGAACUGGUGAGUAACACGUGGAAAACCUGCCCAGAAGCAGGGGAUAACACUUGGAAACAGGUGCUAAUACCGUAUAACAACAAAAACCGCAUGGUUUUUGUUUGAAAGGUGGCUUCGGCUAUCACUUCUGGAUGGUUCCGCGGCGCAUUAGCUUGUUGGUGGGGUAACGGCUCACCAAGGCGAUGAUGCGUAGCCGACCUGAGAGGGUAAUCGGCCACAUUGGGACUGAGACACGGCCCAGACUCCUACGGGAGGCAGCAGUAGGGAAUCUUCCACAAUGGACGCAAGUCUGAUGGAGCAAUGCCGCGUGAGUGAAGAAGGGUUUCGGCUCGUAAAACUCUGUUGUUGAAGAAGAACGGGUGUCAGAGUAACUGUUGACAUCGUGACGGUAUUCAACCAGAAAGCCACGGCUAACUACGUGCCAGCAGCCGCGGUAAUACGUAGGUGGCAAGCGUUGUCCGGAUUUAUUGGGCGUAAAGCGAGCGCAGGCGGUUUCUUAAGUCUGAUGUGAAAGCCUUCGGCUUAACCGAAGAAGUGCAUCGGAAACUGGGGAACUUGAGUGCAGAAGAGGACAGUGGAACUCCAUGUGUAGCGGUGGAAUGCGUAGAUAUAUGGAAGAACACCAGUGGCGAAGGCGGCUGUCUAGUCUGCAACUGACGCUGAGGCUCGAAAGC